Long non-coding RNA from Gasterosteus aculeatus aculeatus (three-spined stickleback), 1283 nucleotides. The record is from Ensembl. Lineage: Eukaryota; Metazoa; Chordata; Actinopteri; Perciformes; Gasterosteidae.
GUUUUAUUGACAUGCCUCUGCUUCAAAACCCCUGAAGGGACCGCUCCACCGUCGAUAACCCUGCUUCAUAAUGCAUCAGCCGCUCACAAAACUGACCAGAGGUUAUGUGGGUCAUGCCGUGGCGACGCUGGGGGACGUGCACGGAGGGACACUGGCAGACAAAUGGGAGACAGGGAGAGGCUUAACAGAUUGAAGGCCAUCAAGGACAAUACGGAAAAAUGAACAACGACUAUUGUCGGAGGAAAUGCCGCAGGAGACUGACUGAUGGACGAGCAAAACAAGAGACGGGGGGAGAUGAAGCGGAGGAGGAGGACGGGUCGUAUUUCUGUCAUGCGGCGCCGUCCUUUGUUUGCUCAUCACAUGCGGUAUCUCUGCAUGGUCCUUGUAUUCAUGUCAGAGAUAAUUAUAGGAGGACGCCGCCAGUUGCCAGAUCAGUAGAUAGCGGACGGGAGCUGCAUCUAAGCGCGGCGUCUCUUCCCCCUACUGGGUUGCCAGAUUUGCGAAUGUCUUGUAUGACGCUGCAUGAGCUCGCAGCCAUGCCUCACCUUCUGCGUGUCCUCGAAGAAUAGCGUCACUGGGCUUCAGAUUUCUUCACCGUGUUUGUCUUGAAGGUCAAUGCAGUGGAGUUUAAUCAGAUCAGUCUCUCAGAAGAGGGUGAAGAGCAAAACAGACAACUGGAAAGACGUAUAAACAAUUUUCCUGACAGCCGAGGCUUUGAGACGGCAGCACCAGGAGGGAAGAGGAGGACGACGAAGAACCGGAACGUGAAGAACCACCAGCAGCAGCAACUACCACCUCUGAAAAUGCAUUCCAGUUUGCGACAUAUUUAAAAGGAGACCCUGCAAAGCCCUCUGUCGCAAGCAUCCGGCUCGGCUUACAUCACCCGAAAGACUUAUGCUGCGCCGGAUCAGCGUAAAGCCUGACAAGAUGUCCCGGGUGAUUUGCGAGGAGAACCUCUAGAGGUACUAGGAGCUGGCAGAAGGAGAGAUACCCGAGGCCUCUGGCGGGCUGAUAUCCGCCACGUCUGGCAUAUGACAUCUAAAGGACGGAUGGACGCUCCGUUACCUCGAAGCGCCUCUCAGGAGGUUCAAGCGUCCGAUUGGGAUGUCUCCUGACAUCCUUCUUCCAGAGGUUCUCCAGGCGUGUCCAACGGUAACGAGGGGCCCGGGGCAUCGGGCCUGAGGACAUCCUGGAGCUGUAGGACGUGUGGACCACAACAGACCAGAAUAGCAACCACAAUCAGAACAUCCAGCAUGACAGCCGUGGCAGACGCUCGCCAGUCC